AGAGUUUGAUCCUGGCUCAGAACGAACGCUGGCGGCGUGCCUAACACAUGCAAGUCGAACGGGAUUUGAGAGCUUGCUCUUAAAUUUAGUGGCGCACGGGUGAGUAACGCGUAGAUAAUCUGCCUGAUGAUCUGGGAUAACACUUCGAAAGAGGUGCUAAUACCGGAUAAGCCCACGGAGUCUUUGGAUUCUGCGGGAAAAGGGGGGGACCUUCGGGCCUUCUGUCAUCAGAUGAGUCUGCGUACCAUUAGCUAGUUGGUAGGGUAAUGGCCUACCAAGGCUACGAUGGUUAGCUGGUCUGAGAGGAUGAUCAGCCACACUGGAACUGAGACACGGUCCAGACUCCUACGGGAGGCAGCAGUGGGGAAUAUUGGUCAAUGGGCGAAAGCCUGAACCAGCAAUGUCGCGUGAGUGAUGAAGGCCUUCGGGUUGUAAAGCUCUGUCAGGGGGAAAGAAAAAGCCGGUUAAUACCCGGUGUUGACGGUACCCCCAAAGGAAGCACCGGCUAACUCUGUGCCAGCAGCCGCGGUAAUACAGAGGGUGCAAGCGUUGUUCGGAAUUACUGGGCGUAAAGCGAGUGUAGGCGGCUUAUUAAGUCAGAUGUGAAAUCCCUUGGCUCAACCGAGGAACUGCAUCUGAUACUGGUAAGCUUGAGUGUCGGAGGGGAUGGUAGAAUUCCUGGUGUAGAGGUGAAAUUCGUAGAUAUCAGGAGGAACACCGGUGGCGAAGGCGGCUACCUGGACCGAUAUUGACGCUGAGACGCGAAAGCGUGGGUAGCAAACAGGAUUAGAUACCCUGGUAGUCC
This 805-nucleotide ribosomal RNA is filed under the name uncultured bacterium. RNAcentral describes it as "bacterial SSU rRNA". It matches the Rfam family "Bacterial small subunit ribosomal RNA", at positions 8 to 796 of the family's 1533-position model. The record is from RNAcentral.